This 29-nucleotide non-coding RNA is filed under the name Bombyx mori (domestic silkworm). Lineage: Eukaryota; Metazoa; Arthropoda; Insecta; Lepidoptera; Bombycidae. The record is from RNAcentral.
UCUCUUUGGUGAUGAACAGCAGGAGCUGA